This 504-nucleotide ribosomal RNA is filed under the name uncultured bacterium. RNAcentral describes it as "partial 16S ribosomal RNA". It matches the Rfam family "Bacterial small subunit ribosomal RNA", at positions 28 to 523 of the family's 1533-position model. The record is from RNAcentral.
GAUGAACGCUAGCGGCAGGCCUAAUACAUGCAAGUCGAACGGGAUCUGAGGGUAGCUUGCUACCCGAUUUGAGAGUGGCGCACGGGUGCGUAACGCGUGAGCAACCUACCCAUAUCAGGGGGAUAGCCCGGAGAAAUUCGGAUUAACACCGCAUAAGAAUGUAUUAACACAUGUUAAAGCAUUUAAAUAUUUAUAGGAUAUGGAUGGGCUCGCGUGACAUUAGCUAGUUGGUGAGGUAACGGCGCACCAAGGCGACGAUGUCUAGGGGCUCUGAGAGGAGAAUCCCCCACACUGGUACUGAGACACGGACCAGACUCCUACGGGGGGCAGCAGUAAGGAAUAUUGGUCAAUGGGCGGAAGCCUGAACCAGCCAUGCCGCGUGCAGGUCGACUGCCCUAUGGGUUGUAAACUGCUUUUGUCGAGGAAUAAACCUAUCUACGUGUAGAUAGUUGAACGUACUCGAAGAAUAAGGAUCGGCUAACUCCGUGCCAGCCGCCGCCGUAA